RNAcentral lists this non-coding RNA (114 nucleotides) under Krasilnikoviella flava. RNAcentral describes it as "Promicromonospora flava SAM-IV sequence". It matches the Rfam family "SAM (S-adenosyl methionine) riboswitch aptamer". Rfam says of the family: SAM-IV is a mRNA element that regulates gene expression via direct sensing of S-adenosylmethionine (SAM or AdoMet). SAM-IV riboswitches share conserved nucleotide positions with the previously described SAM-I riboswitches sequence analysis and molecular recognition experiments suggest that SAM-I and SAM-IV riboswitches share similar ligand binding sites, but have different scaffolds. The record is from Rfam by way of RNAcentral. Lineage: Bacteria; Bacillati; Actinomycetota; Actinomycetes; Micrococcales; Promicromonosporaceae.
GGUCAUGAGCUCCGACGCGAAGCCCCGGCUCGUCGGACGGCAACCCCCAGCGCGGGUGGGUGCCCCGGGUGAGGACCAGGCCCGCCGUCGCCGACGGCGCGGCAACACGCGACC